GUUUUAAUAAUUUAAAGUAAAAAUACUGGUCUUGUAAAUCAGAAAUAAGAUAAUCUUUUAAAACU
Molecule: transfer RNA, 65 nt
Filed under: Prosopocoilus astacoides blanchardi
Lineage: Eukaryota; Metazoa; Arthropoda; Insecta; Coleoptera; Lucanidae
Also listed under: 1 other name
Description: tRNA-Thr
Rfam family: tRNA
About the family: Transfer RNA (tRNA) molecules are approximately 80 nucleotides in length. Their secondary structure includes four short double-helical elements and three loops (D, anti-codon, and T loops).
Source: RNAcentral